This 487-nucleotide ribosomal RNA is filed under the name uncultured bacterium. Its description in RNAcentral is "bacterial SSU rRNA". It matches the Rfam family "Bacterial small subunit ribosomal RNA", at positions 27 to 507 of the family's 1533-position model. The record is from RNAcentral.
CGAUUGAACGCUGGCGGCAUGCUUUACACAUGCAAGUCGAACGGCAGCGCGGGGGCAACCCUGGCGGCGAGUGGCGAACGGGUGAGUAAUGUAUCGGAACGUAUCCUGUAAUGGGGGAUAACCAGUCGAAAGAUUGGGUAAUACCGCAUACGCACGAGAGUGGAAAGUAGGGGAUCGCAAGACCUUACGUUAUAGGAGCGGCCGAUAUCUGAUUAGCUAGUUGGUGGGGUAAAGGCCUACCAAGGCGACGAUCAGUAGCUGGUCUGAGAGGACGACCAGCCACACUGGGACUGAGACACGGCCCAGACUCCUACGGGAGGCAGCAGUGGGGAAUUUUGGACAAUGGGCGAAAGCCUGAUCCAGCCAUGCCGCGUGCAGGAAGAAGGCCUUCGGGUUGUAAACUGCUUUAGUCUAGGAAAAAGGGGUGCGAGGUUAAUACCCUCGUGCUUUGAUGGUACUGGAAGAAUAAGCACCGGCUAACUACGUG